AUCCUGGCCCAAGAUGAACGCUGGCGGCGUGCCUAACACUUGCAAGUCAAACGAAGCGUGCCGGAGGAUUUUUUCGGAUGGAAUCCGGGAUGACUGAGUGGCGGACGGUUGAUUAACGCGUGGCUACCCUGCCCUGUACGGGGAGACAACAGUUAAAAAUGACUGCUAAUACCGCAUACGCGCACAGGACCGCGUGGUCCGGUGUGAAAAACUCCGGUGGCACACGAUGGACCCGCGUCUGAUUAGGUAGUCGGCGGGGUAACGGCCCACCACGCCGACGAUCAGUAGCCGACCUGAGAGGGUGACCGGCCACAUUGGGACUGAGACACGGCCCAAACUCCUACGGGAGGCAGCAGUGGGGAAUAUUGCACAAUGGGGGAAACCCUGAUGCAGCGACGCCGCGUGAGUGAAGAAGUCAUUCGUGAUGUAAAGCUCUAUCAGCAGGGAAGAAAAUGACGGUACCUGACUAAGAAGCCCCGGCUAACUACGUGCCAGCAGCCGCGGUAAUACGUAGGGGGCAAGCGUUAUCCGGAUUUACUGGGUGUAAAGGGAGCGUAGACGGCCAGGCAAGUCUGGAGUGAAAGCCCGGGGCUCAACCCCGGGACUGCUUUGGAAACUGUAGGGCUGGAGUGCAGGAGGGGUAAGCGGAAUUCCUAGUGUAGCGGUGAAAUGCGUAGAUAUUAGGAGGAACACCGGUGGCGAAGGCGGCUUACUGGACUGCAACUGACGUUGAGGCUCGAAGGCGUGGGGAGCAAACAGGAUUAGAUACCCUGGUAGUCCACGCGGUAAACCGAUGAUUACUAGAUGUCGGGGAGGAAUGACUGCCCGGUGCCUUCGCAAAACACAAAAAGUAAUUCCCCCUGGGGAGUAAGGUGGCAAGAAUGAUGCUCAAAGGAAUUGACGGGGGCCCGCCCCAGCGGUGGAGCAUGUUGUUUAAUUAGAUGCAACGGGAAGAACCUUACCCGGCCUUGACAUCCCCUCGGCGAGAGGGUAAUGCCUCUAUCCCUUCUUGGCACGCGAGACAGGUGGUGCAUGGUUGUCGUCAGCUCGUGUCGUGAGAGGGUGGGAUAAGUCCCGCAACGAGCGCAACCCCUGUCCCCAGUAGCCAGCAGGUAAAGCUGGGCACUCUGGGGGGACUGCCCGGGAGAACCGGGAGGAAGGCGGGGAUGACGUCAAAUCAUCAUGCCCCUUAUGGUCGGGGCUACACACGUGCUACAAUGGCGCCAACAGAGGGAGGCGAGCGGGCGAGGGCGAGCGAAUCCCAAAAAAAGCGUCUCAGUUCGGAUUGCAGCCUGCAACAUCGCCUGCAUGAAGCAGGAAUCGCUAGUAAUCGCGGAUCAGAAUGCCGCGGGGAAUACGUUCCCGUGUCUUGCACACACC
Molecule: ribosomal RNA, 1380 nt
Filed under: uncultured bacterium
Lineage: Bacteria
Description: 16S ribosomal RNA
Rfam family: Bacterial small subunit ribosomal RNA
Source: RNAcentral